GACUCCUCGCAGUCCGCGAUGGAGGCGAGACCCCCCAGUAACAGAGGUGGUGGCUACUGCUGCGGCCACUGGGUUUCGGUCUCUUCCCAGCAGCGGCUCUAAGAAGCGCAGCGGAACUCGACCGGAUCCAACCCAGUUAGUUACUUCCUGUCUAGAGUUGUAGCUUCCACCUGCACCUUCUAGCCACCAUGGCAACCUCAUCUGAAGAAGUUUUGCUGAUUGUAAAGAAAGUGCGUCAAAAGAAGCAGGAUGGAGCUCUAUACCUCAUGGCAGAAAGAAUUGCUUGGGCACCUGAAGGCAAAGAUAGAUUUACAAUCAGCCAUAUGUAUGCAGAUAUUAAAUGUAAGUCAGCUCUACUAAGUUCUGAUGUAUUUGUAUGUCAUAGUUGCUAGUAAUUUUGUAAAAAGAUUAUAUAAAUAAUCUUUAUUUUAUAUCAAAAAAUCAACCAUGUAGAAAUAAUUACAAAAUGGGGUCACUGAAUAUAUACUGUUUUAUAACCUGACCUUUUCACUUAAUAAAACAGGUACAGGUUUACAUAUAAUAUGUAAAUCUACGUGACGUAUAGAUC
RNAcentral lists this small RNA (568 nucleotides) under Pongo abelii (Sumatran orangutan). RNAcentral's name for it is "retained intron". Lineage: Eukaryota; Metazoa; Chordata; Mammalia; Primates; Hominidae. The record is from RNAcentral.